AUUGAACGCUGGCGGCAGGCUUAACACAUGCAAGUCGAACGGUAACAGAGAAGUGCUUGCACUUUUGCUGACGAGUGGCGGACGGGUGAGUAAUGCUUGGGAAUAUGCCAAAACGUGGGGGACAACAGUUGGAAACGACUGCUAAUACCGCAUAAUGUCUUCGGACCAAAGCAGGGGACCUUCGGGCCUUGCGCGUUUUGAUUAGCCCAAGUGGGAUUAGCUAGUUGGUAAGGUAAUGGCUUACCAAGGCGACGAUCCCUAGCUGGUCUUAGAGGAUGACCAGCCACACUGGAACUGAGACACGGUCCAG
RNAcentral lists this ribosomal RNA (310 nucleotides) under uncultured Psychromonas sp. Its description in RNAcentral is "bacterial SSU rRNA". It matches the Rfam family "Bacterial small subunit ribosomal RNA", at positions 30 to 334 of the family's 1533-position model. The record is from RNAcentral. Lineage: Bacteria; Pseudomonadati; Pseudomonadota; Gammaproteobacteria; Alteromonadales; Psychromonadaceae.